This 29-nucleotide small RNA is filed under the name Bombyx mori (domestic silkworm). RNAcentral's name for it is "ovarian small RNA-35961". Lineage: Eukaryota; Metazoa; Arthropoda; Insecta; Lepidoptera; Bombycidae. The record is from RNAcentral.
UGUGUUAAGAUUUACGUGCCAUUCAGAGA